UACGAAGGGGGCUAGCGUUGCUCGGAAUCACUGGGCGUAAAGGGCGCGUAGGCGGGUCUUUAAGUCAGGGGUGAAAUCCUGGAGCUCAACUCCAGAACUGCCUUUGAUACUGAAGAUCUUGAGUUCGGGAGAGGUGAGUGGAACUGCGAGUGUAGAGGUGAAAUUCGUAGAUAUUCGCAAGAACACCAGUGGCGAAGGCGACUUACUGGACACAUAUUGACGCUGAGGUGCGAAAGCGUGGGGAGCAAACAGG
Molecule: ribosomal RNA, 253 nt
Filed under: uncultured bacterium
Lineage: Bacteria
Description: partial 16S ribosomal RNA
Rfam family: Bacterial small subunit ribosomal RNA
Source: RNAcentral